Molecule: ribosomal RNA, 860 nt
Filed under: Pyrenophora trichostoma
Lineage: Eukaryota; Fungi; Ascomycota; Dothideomycetes; Pleosporales; Pleosporaceae
Description: partial large subunit ribosomal RNA
Rfam family: Eukaryotic large subunit ribosomal RNA
Source: RNAcentral
ACCAACAGGGAUUGCCCUAGUAACGGCGAGUGAAGCGGCAACAGCUCAAAUUUGAAAUCUGGCUCUUUUAGAGUCCGAGUUGUAAUUUGCAGAGGGCGCUUUGGCUUUGGCAGCGGUCCAAGUUCCUUGGAACAGGACGUCACAGAGGGUGAGAAUCCCGUACGUGGUCGCUAGCUAUUGCCGUGUAAAGCCCCUUCGACGAGUCGAGUUGUUUGGGAAUGCAGCUCUAAAUGGGAGGUAAAUUUCUUCUAAAGCUAAAUACUGGCCAGAGACCGAUAGCGCACAAGUAGAGUGAUCGAAAGAUGAAAAGCACUUUGGAAAGAGAGUCAAACAGCACGUGAAAUUGUUGAAAGGGAAGCGCUUGCAGCCAGACUUGCUUGCAGUUGCUCACCCGGGCCUCUGUGCCCGGUGCAUUCUUCUGCAGGCAGGCCAGCAUCAGUUUGGGCGGUGGGAUAAAGGUCUCUGUCACGUACCUCUCUUCGGGGAGGCCUUAUAGGGGAGGCGACAUACCACCAGCCUGGACUGAGGUCCGCGCAUUUAUGCUAGGAUGCUGGCGUAAUGGCUGUAAGCGGCCCGUCUUGAAACACGGACCAAGGAGUCUAACAUCUAUGCGAGUGUUUGGGUGUCAAGCCCGAACGCGUAAUGAAAGUGAACGGAGGUGGGAACCCGCAAGGGUGCACCAUCGACCGAUCCUGAUGUCUUCGGAAGGAUUUGAGUAAGAGCAUGGCUGUUGGGACCCGAAAGAUGGUGAACUAUGCUUGAAUAGGGUGAAGCCAGAGGAAACUCUGGUGGAGGCUCGCAGCGGUUCUGACGUGCAAAUCGAUCGUCAAAUUUGGGCAUAGGGGCGAAAGACUAAUCGA